GAUGAACGCUGGCGGCGUGCUUAAUACAUGCAAGUCGAACGGAGAAGCUCCAGCUUGCUGGAGUGGAUCAGUGGCGAACGGGUGAGUAACACGUGAGCAACAUGCCCCUGUCACUGGGAUAAGCGCUGGAAACGGCGUAUAAUACUGGAUACGAGAUGGGUCAGCAUGGGCACUUUCUGUAAAGUUUUUCGGUUGGGGAUGGGCUCGCGGCCUAUCAGCUUGUUUGUGAGGUAAUGGCUGACCAAGGCGACGACGGGUAGCCGGCCUGAGAGGGCGACCGGCCACACGGGGACUGAGACACGGCGCAGACGCCUACGGGAGGCAGCAGGCGGGAAUAUUGCACAAUGGGCGAAAGCCUGAUGCAGCGACGCCGCGUGAGGGAUGACGUCCUUCGGGGUAUAAACCUCUUUCAGCAGGGAAGAAGCGAAAGUGACGGUACCUGCAGAAGAAGCACCGGCUAACUACGUG
RNAcentral lists this ribosomal RNA (468 nucleotides) under uncultured bacterium. RNAcentral describes it as "partial 16S ribosomal RNA". It matches the Rfam family "Bacterial small subunit ribosomal RNA", at positions 28 to 507 of the family's 1533-position model. The record is from RNAcentral.